AGCGAACGCUGGCGGCAGGCUUAACACAUGCAAGUCGAGCGGGCCUUUCGGGGUCAGCGGCGGACGGGUGAGUAACGCGUGGGAACGUGCCCUCUUGUUCGGAAUAACUCAGGGAAACUUGAGCUAAUACCGGAUACGCCCUUUUGGGGAAAGGCUUGCUGCCGGAGGAUCGGCCCGCGUCUGAUUAGCUAGUUGGUGAGGUAACGGCUCACCAAGGCGACGAUCAGUAGCUGGUCUGAGAGGAUGAUCAGCCACACUGGGACUGAGACACGGCCCAGACUCCUACGGGAGGCAGCAGUGGGGAAUAUUGGACAAUGGGCGCAAGCCUGAUCCAGCCAUGCCGCGUGAGUGAUGAAGGCCUUAGGGUUGUAAAGCUCUUUUAUCCGGGACGAUAAUGACGGUACCGGAGGAAUAAGCCCCGGCUAACUUCGUG
Molecule: ribosomal RNA, 433 nt
Filed under: uncultured bacterium
Lineage: Bacteria
Description: partial 16S ribosomal RNA
Rfam family: Bacterial small subunit ribosomal RNA
Source: RNAcentral